AUGGAGAACGAGUCGCAGCUCGCAAGUGCGACGCCAAGGGAUUUUACAUUCCAAUUGUUAAAGCAAAUUACAAAUGAUUUUUCUGAGGACAACAGAAUUGGUGUUGGCGGGUACGGAGUAGUCUACAAGGGAACACUCGACAAUGGUGAAGUGAUUGCUGUGAAGAAGCUUUAUUACAAGCAUCCAGGACUUGACAGCGACAAGCAAUUUCAGAAUGAGUGUACUAACCUUAUGAGGGUCCAUCAUCAAAAUAUAGUAAGGUUAGUUGGCUACUGCCAUGAAAUUCGUCAUAUAUGCGUAGAGCACAAUGGGAGAUAUGUUUUUGCUAUGGUGGAAGAUAGAGCUCUCUGCUUCGAAUACUUGGAGGGUGGAAGCCUUGACAAACAUCUCACGGACGAAUCCUGUGGAUUUGGUUGGCACACGCGUUACAAAAUCAUUAAAGGAAUUUGUGAGGGAUUAAAUUACCUUCAUAAUGGAUCAAAAGAAUCGAUUUUCCAUCUGGACUUGAAACCAGCCAAUAUAUUGCUGGAUAGGAAUAUGAUGCCAAAGAUAGGAGAUUUUGGUUUGUCCAGACUCUUCGAUUCAACAGAAACCUGUUCCACAAAAGGAAUUAUAGGAACACCUGGAUACAUGCCACCAGAAUACAUCAAUAGAUUCCACAUCACACCAAAGUUUGACGUAUUCAGUUUGGGCGUUACAAUCAUAAAAAUAAUGUCAGGACAAGAGGGCUACUCCAAAUUUGCGGAUAUGUCUUCCCAAGAAUUUAUUCAACUUGUACAUGAAAACUGGGAAAAGGCGUUGCAGACAACUGUGUUGGCGCAUACAUCACAUGGAGUUAAGAAAUGCAUUGAAAUAGCAUUAAGAUGCGUGGAGGCUGACCGAGUGAAAAGGCCUACUAUAGCCGAGGUUGUGGAUGAAUUGAGUAAGAUUGAUACUACCAUUAUCGAUGAACUAAAUAAGAUUGAUACAGACAGAAGUUCACCAAUAGAGCAGGUCACCAACUUACAAUGCAAUCAGGCCUUCACCCCAUGUGUGAACUCAGGAAUGUUCUCAAAAGAUGGUGGUAAAGAUGGGAGUAUGAUUAGUUCCUGCAGCAGUCAAGCCAUUCGAGCCUCUUCAGAUUCGGUGCUUCUAAGAGCAAAUAUUAAAUGCCCUAUCUUGUCAUCAACCAGUGUUAAAAUCUUCAGUUAUGAUAAUCUCAGGUUAGCCACAAGGAAGUUCCAUUCUAACUGUGUGCUCGGUGAAGGAGGAUUUGGAUGUGUAUAUAAAGGAUGGAUUGAUGAGAACACAUUGUCACCUUGCGAACCUGGCACUGGUAUACCUGUUGCAGUGAAAAGAUUAGGGCAGGAGAGUUCGCAAGGGCACAAAGAGUGGUUGGCAGAAAUUAACCUAGCUCACCUUUCCCACCCCAACCUUGUGAAGUUAUUUGGGUACUGCUUAGAGGAUGAGCACCGGCUACUAGUGUACGAAUUCAUACCACAUGGGAGCUUGGACAAUCAUCUUUUUAAGAGAGACUCAUGUCAACCUCUGUCAUGGAACCUGAGAAUGAAAGUUGCACUUGGAGUUGCAAAAGCACUAGCUUACCUUCACUGUGCAGAGAUAAAUGUCAUUGUUAGAGAUGUUAAGAAUUCCAAUAUUCUCCUUGACAGAGACUAUACCGCGAAGCUCUCUGAUUUUGGAGUGGCAGUUAAUGGUCCUGUUGAUCAGGAGAGUCAUUUAUCCACAGCGGUUAAGGGGACACGUGGUUAUGCAGCUCCGGAAUACAUUGCAACAGGCCUACUUACACAGAAGUGUGACAUCUAUGGCUUUGGAGUACUGCUUCUGGAGUUGUUGUCAGGUCGCCGUGCCCUUGACGAGAACCGACCAGGGAUGGAGCAGAAUCUUGUGGACUGGGCCAGACCAUAUCUCAGGCAUAAGCACAAGAUACGUUGUGUCAUAGAUACCAGUCUAGGCGGUCUGUACUCGUUCAGUGCGGUCCAGAAACUCGCUGCCCUUGCCCUCGAGUGCCUGUGCACGGACCCCAAGAAGAGGCCGGCCAUGGACUCGGUGGUCUCUAUCCUAGAAGGUGUUCAGGAAGACGAGGAACUAGAAGCAGCGGAGCACCAGGAAUCAGGCAAAAAGGUCACUGCGAGUGCAAGCAGGAAGAACGGCAAAUCUCGCUGGAAUAUCUUCGGAGGGGGGCGGUCGUGA
This 2190-nucleotide ribosomal RNA is filed under the name Triticum aestivum (bread wheat). Its description in RNAcentral is "partial small subunit ribosomal RNA". Lineage: Eukaryota; Viridiplantae; Streptophyta; Magnoliopsida; Poales; Poaceae. The record is from RNAcentral.